CCCCAGUCUCUAUAAAAGACUCUCCCUGCCCCGGCCAUAUUGCUUUUGUCUCUCCUUUGUUCAGAGACAGCCCGGCAGAUCUAUUCCCCUAAUAAAGGCUUGCUGUGGCCUGGUCUGGUCUUGGUCUUCGGCCCUUUUACCUGACACCGGUGACCACAUUUUAUGACACAACAGUUUUCAGCCUGUGAAAAUAGUCUCUCGGGAAGAGAUGUGGAACUGUAAGAGGUUAUAGUGUCCUAUCUGACAACUUGCAUGUUUGCAUUAACCCUUUACAUUCAUACAUCAUUGUCUCCUGCUCUGUUGCUCAUAAUCCCCAAGACUCUUGAGAAGUGAGCAGGACUGAAAGGUGCAUCGCAUGGAGUGUAAGUAAAGAGCUUAUUGAGAGUGAGAAUGCAGUUGAUUUGGUUUUUUUUAUGGUACUGGGAAUUGAACCCAGGAUCAAUGGGCUGCCUCUCCAGUCCUUUUAUUUUUUAUUUUGAGACAAAGUCUCACUAAGUUGCCCACACAAGACUCAAACUGGUGAUCAUCCUGCCUCAGCCUCCUUCAGAACUGGGUGUUUUAAAUUUUGUUUUGUUUUUUCAAUCCUACUCCAUUUCUCUUGCUAGGAAAUGACAUUAUUUUAUUAUAAUUUCUCAUUAUUUCCUACAGGAGCCAGCCCCACUGAUUUCAGAGGGCCAUCUAGGGAAAGGUGAAAGAAAUAUGCAUGUUAUCCUAUACACAGAGGGCCUUCCUCUGUCUAAAAGUAAUGCUUGUCCUAGCAAGGCCUUAGUCUGUAUGUGUUCCCAUGUGUGUGAGCUGUUCAGGGAUUACACAUACAUUUUAAAAUAUAUCUAUCAAAAAACCAAUCCAUUGAUCAAUCAAUCAUGUGCCUAAAUUUAUUUUGAAGGUAAGAAAAUGCAUAGUCAUACAUUAAUACCUGUUACUUGGAUUCUUAUAAAUUAGCAAUGUUUUUAAGGAUUCAGGGAGGGGUUUUUGACAGAAACAAAAAUCACUGACUUAAUAUUUGCUUAUAGAUCCAACAAUUUUUAUGAGCUUCUACACACUUGGUAGAUAAUGUACAAGGUAUCAAGAUUGUAAUAUGUAGUCUCUAUUCUCAUAGCUGCUUCUAAUCAAGAAUAAUAUAUUCAAUAUUUCUGUUAGGAGUAAAUUACUAUAUAAGAAUUUCCAUUCAAGCAUAAAAUCAUGUGUCAGAUGGCUAUUACAUCCUACGAGUGCCCCAAGAAGGGGAAAAUAGUGUGUUCUAGAAAGGCAUCUCUGUGAAGGAGCAGAGAAUUGGCUACACCUCGAACGAUGAGGAACAUUUAAACAGGUACAACAGUGGUAGGAGUGAGGUGAUGAACCUGGUUUUAUGUUGUUACUAGAGAAGCUGGACCUGAAUUAAAGUUGAGCAUGUAUUAUCUCAGAUACUUCUGAACCUGGGAGAUGAAGGUGGUUUACCCUGCUACUCUGCUACGUGGUCUGCUUAAGAUGCACUGCCUCGCCACAGGCCAAACCAAAGGGGCCAAUGAAAAUGGGCUGGAACCUCCAAAAGUCUGUACUUGGAAAGGAAACAGCCCCCAGAGACCCUCCUUGUGAUUUCCAGAUGGCAGGAUGCCUCCUAUUAGUAGGACCUAACUGGAAGCCAACUGGAGAAAAUGCCCAGUGAGUGGUCUGUCAUUUGUGGACUGCCCCCCCCACGCACUUUGCCAGCCACAGUAUCACAAAGCAAAGAACAUAGAAGGACAGGUCUCAGGCUGACAGACAGAAGAGAGUGGGAUAAAUAACCAGCAGAGUUUUAUAUGAAUGGCAUAGAAUUUUAGUUUUCCAUGAGUCUUCAUCUUCAUUGACUUCUUUCUAUGCAUACUUUGGAUUGCAUACUUUGAUAAUUACAUAUAUUAUGUACUUUUUUUGGAGUGGGCAAACAGAACAAAACUGUCAAUAAUCACUGAGAUGAAAGCUGUCAUGAAGUAACUCCCACAGCAGAGACUCACCUGCAAGGUCACAGGACUGCUGAAGGGGCCUUAGGGAGCUCCAUGGAGUUCCUGGGAUCUAAAUGGGACUUGCAUAAAGAAAGGGGAGGACAGGAGAACACAGGGUCAUGGGUGGGGACUCGAACAGCAGAGGUGAGAAAUGCACAGUAGAUUCCGAGAACAGCCAACACAGCCACAUCCAGGGCAGCAACUCUGCCCAACCAGCCCCCACCCCUAAGCAAGAAUGCAGACAUCCUCCUGACACCAAAUGGACCUCACUGCUCCCUCCUAGCCCAGCCAGACCCAAUUUUACAGAACUUUCUUGUUUUAGUUUUCUUUUUAAAGUAGACUGCCUCCUAAAUACAAAAUGUGUCAUAGUUCCAAAAGUGUUUUUGACAAAUUACACUAGUCCUACACUUAUAAACUAGUGAAAUAAAUUGCCUAAGUUAUUUUGUCAACA
Heterocephalus glaber (naked mole-rat) is the source of this 2409-nucleotide long non-coding RNA. RefSeq lists it as uncharacterized. Lineage: Eukaryota; Metazoa; Chordata; Mammalia; Rodentia; Bathyergidae. The record is from RefSeq and is a predicted model, not a curated record.